CAAUAGCGUAUAUUAAAGUUGUUGCAGUUAAAAAGCUCGUAGUUGGAUUUCUGGUCGGAAGCCCCUGUCCUCUGAUGAGCGUACAAGUGCGUCCUACCAUCCUUCUGUUAACCUUUAAGGCUUUCGCGGCUUUCUAGGGGCUCAGAUAUUUUACCUUGAGAAAAUUAGAGUGUUUCAGGCAGGCUAGCGCCGGAAUACAUUAGCAUGGAAUAAUGGAAUAGGACUUUUGCCUCUUCUGUUGGUCAUGAGGCUCGAGUAAUGAUUAAUAGGGAUAGUUGGGGGCAUUAGUACUUAACUGUCAGAGGUGAAAUUCUCGGAUUUGUUAAAGACUAACUUAUGCGAAAGCAUUUGCCAAGGAUGUUUUCAUUA
Molecule: ribosomal RNA, 369 nt
Filed under: uncultured eukaryote
Lineage: Eukaryota
Description: partial 18S ribosomal RNA
Rfam family: Eukaryotic small subunit ribosomal RNA
Source: RNAcentral